This is a non-coding RNA of Drosophila ananassae, 88 nucleotides long. The record is from Rfam. Lineage: Eukaryota; Metazoa; Arthropoda; Insecta; Diptera; Drosophilidae.
CGCCUGUCCUACGCAGCCCGGAUUCUGUGGGAGCUGCGCCGUUCUUUCUAUCCGUAGCACCACAUGAUUCGGCUUCGUGGUGCAGGGC